AUUGCAUUCGAUACUGGUUAGCUAGAGUGUGGGAGAGGAUGGUAGAAUUCCAGGUGUAGCGGUGAAAUGCGUAGAGAUCUGGAGGAAUACCGAUGGCGAAGGCAGCCAUCUGGCCUAACACUGACGCUGAGGUGCGAAAGCAUGGGGAGCAAACAGGAUUAGAUACCCUGGUAGUCCAUGCCGUAAACGAUGUCUACUAGCCGUUGGGGCCUUUGAGGCUUUAGUGGCGCAGCUAACGCGAUAAGUAGACCGCCUGGGGAGUACGGUCGCAAGACUAAAACUCAAAUGAAUUGACGGGGGCCCGCACAAGCGGUGGAGCAUGUGGUUUAAUUCGAUGCAACGCGAAGAACCUUACCUGGCCUUGACAUAGUAAGAACUUUCCAGAGAUGGAUUGGUGCCUUCGGGAACUUACAUACAGGUGCUGCAUGGCUGUCGUCAGCUCGUGUCGUGAGAUGUUGGGUUAAGUCCCGCAACGAGCGCAACCCUUUUCCUUAUUUGCCAGCGAGUAAUGUCGGGAACUUUAAGGAUACUGCCAGUGACAAACUGGAAGAAGGCGGGGACGACGUCAAGUCAUCAUGGCCCUUACGGCCAGGGCUACACACGUGCUACAAUGGUCGGUACAAAGGGUUGCUACCUGGCGAUAGGAUGCUAAUCUCAAAAAGCCGAUCGUAGUCCGGAUUGG
This 682-nucleotide ribosomal RNA is filed under the name uncultured Acinetobacter sp. RNAcentral describes it as "bacterial SSU rRNA". It matches the Rfam family "Bacterial small subunit ribosomal RNA", at positions 620 to 1301 of the family's 1533-position model. Lineage: Bacteria; Pseudomonadati; Pseudomonadota; Gammaproteobacteria; Moraxellales; Moraxellaceae. The record is from RNAcentral.